RNAcentral lists this ribosomal RNA (303 nucleotides) under Triticum aestivum (bread wheat). RNAcentral's name for it is "partial small subunit ribosomal RNA". Lineage: Eukaryota; Viridiplantae; Streptophyta; Magnoliopsida; Poales; Poaceae. The record is from RNAcentral.
AUGUUUAUGUGUAAUGCGUGCUUGAUUUUUUUGUGGUUCUGGUGGAUUUUGAUUUUCUCCACCAUGCUUCUCUCCAACGGGAUGAGUCUGUUUUCGCAGCAGCGGGUGAUGCAUGUGCUUAUUGUUGGCUGUUGCUAUGUGGCGAUGUGUGGUAGAAGCUGUACUCACAGGAAGACUAUCGUGCUGUGUAUAAACCACGUUCCACGAUUCACUUCUGUUAUGCAUAUUUACUUUCCAGUUUUAGGACUGAAAUCCAUCCAUUGUAAUGAAUUUGGUUGUAUGGGCAUUACCUAUUUGACUUAG